UGUUGCUGGUGUUAUUAAGGUAAGUAACAGUUUGUAUUUGUUGUAUAUGGUGUGUUAAAGGUAAGCAACAGACAUAGUUGUACUCAGUUGUAUGUGUUUGAAUAUGCAGAAUAUAGUUGAUGAUAUUGCUGCUGAGGAAGAGGAAGAGGAUAGGGUUAAUGAUGUUGCAGCUGAUACAGAUGAGGAUGAUGAUGAUGAGGAAUCCCAACCACUGCCGCCAGAGAGCAUGUACUUUAGUCCAACUGAGUACAACAAGGUAUGUAAGGUAGGGAGUAGGUGUAGAGUUGGCCAAACAGUGGCCAUGAUAGAGGCAUUUGAUGAGGAAGUUAGUUGGUUUAGGAAUCAUGCUCAGUUUAGGCAUAUAUUCCACAUGCCUAAGGAACCAAAUCACAUGAUUCAAGGCAUGUGGAUGCUUAUGCUUUGCACUGCUCGCACGGAUAUGGAGAAUGAGUGUUGGUUUGUUGUGAAUGGAGUACCUAUAAGGUACUCCUUGAAAGAGCAUGCUUUGUUAACCGGGUUGGACUGCCAUGAGUACCCAAAGAAUCAUGAGAAGAAGGGUAGUUUGAGGUUUGUCAGAAGGAUGUUUGGGAGGACAGACCUAAUCAAAAUCAAAGAUGUAGAAAAGAAGUUGGCAGCUAUUAAGAGUGAGAAGUGUUUGGAUAGGAAGAAGUUGAUUAUUUUGUUGUUUUUAUGUGAGGUUGUGAAGGCUGAUUCUAAGGGUGAUGGGAACAUAGAGCAAUUCCUGUUAAGGAUUGUUGAUGAUGUUCAUGCUUGUGAGACAUUCCCGUGGGGAAGGUAUUCUUUUGAGCAAUGUAUGACAGGGAUCCGGAGAAUGAUGAAAAACUUGAAAGGUUCGGUGAAACCAAAAGCACAGAGCAGCUUUUUUGGAUUCAUCACUCCUCUUGAGGUAAAAACUUGUGAAUAUUGUAAUGAGUUACAGUGUUAAAGUUAUAGUAUUAAAACUGUAUUAUUGUGAAUGUGUAGAUUUUUGCAUUUGAGUGCAUACCACAACUUGGAAGGCGAUUCAGAGAAGCUGUUCCCGCAGCUAAUGACUGUCCAAGAAUGUGCAAAUCUAAAUUCACUGACAGUUGCAUGAAGGGCGUUACCUUGGAUGAAAUAAACCAAUCCCUUGGUGAAAUUAAGGUUAGCUUUUGGUGCCUUUACUUCUCUUAGUAUGCAUAUGUAUUGAGAUUGAUGCUAUGUGUAUUUGACAGGAUAUCUCAAGCAUCUUGGAACCUGAUAUGGAUGAGAAAGAGAUGUUGUCUGGCCUUGUUGAGAAAGAUGUUGAUGAAGGGAUGGGAGAGAGCAGCUGAUCAGAAAGAAGAAGAAAAUCUGGUGGAAAAGUCUAUACCAGAUGGACUUGCAGGCUCGGGGUUUUGGUGAUGUUGUCCCUGAAGUGGCUGAGAGGCUUGGUGAUGUUAAAGAAAGUGAUGGUGAAGUCCCUGAGAGGCUUGGUGAUAUCCUCUCAUUACAGUCAGCUGUGGACAAAGGAUUUGCGAAGAUCAUGGAGAAGUUGUCUGAGAUGGAUAGCAAAGUGAGUAUGCUGGAUGGGAGAGUGAAAGACUUAGAGGGUUAUGUAUCAGUCCAGCUAGAGAAAGAACGGUACAAUGAGUAUCAUCCAGGGACUUCAAGUGAUUUUGUGCCAACCUAUUGUACACCAACUACUAAUCAACCAAUAGCGAGUCCGACAAAGGCUUUGGUCCUUCACAGUGGUUUCACAGACCCUAAGCCAAUCCAGAUUCAAGAAUUGAGUGAUGAAGGUGAUCAGGAGCAGCUGGCUAGGAAAGAGAAGGAGAACAAGAAGAAGAAAGCAGUGAGGCCGAAGCAUAGUGGCCCUACAAUCCAGACCGGGAAAAAGAGACAAAGGAAGGCUUCCAGGUUUCAGGCUGAAGAGUUUACAGCAGAGGGGAAGGGGAAGGGGAAGAAGCGGCAGAAGAAAUAGGCAUGGACACACGGGUACUUUAUGAGAGAUCACUCUUUAUGAGUAAUUGCUUUUGUGUAGGACAAAACUUAUAUUUUCUGAGUAUUUUGCGGUUAUCUUUUAUUAGGAUUCAAAACAUUGUACUAUCUUUUGGUUGUGUUGUGGUUUAGGUGCAUUUUUUGUA
This is an RNA transcript of Arabidopsis lyrata subsp. lyrata, 2105 nucleotides long. RefSeq lists it as uncharacterized. The record is from RefSeq and is a predicted model, not a curated record. NCBI's taxonomy places the organism in Eukaryota, Viridiplantae, Streptophyta, Magnoliopsida, Brassicales, Brassicaceae. The transcript has 2 exons.